UACUUUGGUGGCCUAAGUGGUUAGAGCAUCUGCCUUGGAUGUGGGAGGUCAUGGGUUCAAGUCCUGUCAAAGCAA
Potamilus streckersoni is the source of this 75-nucleotide non-coding RNA. The record is from the annotation of a GenBank genome assembly. NCBI's taxonomy places the organism in Eukaryota, Metazoa, Mollusca, Bivalvia, Unionida, Unionidae.